Anolis carolinensis (green anole) is the source of this 5717-nucleotide long non-coding RNA. RefSeq lists it as uncharacterized. Lineage: Eukaryota; Metazoa; Chordata; Lepidosauria; Squamata; Anolidae. The record is from RefSeq and is a predicted model, not a curated record. The transcript has 3 exons.
AGACCCUAAGUGAAUGUAUGAUGGGAUUUUCUUAGCAAGAUUUGUUCAAAGUGGGUAUGCAUUGUCUUCCUCUGACAUACCCACAGUCACCCCAUAGCUUUCAAUGCCAUCCAAAUCUCCAGAGUCGCUGUCCAAGAAUAAAAACACAACACCACAGUAGCUCAAAAUAUUACCUAACUCAAUAUAAAACUUCAAUAAAUAUUACCAUUAUCAUUAUGAAUGUUUAAAAGUAACAUGUUCCAUACUCACUACUUUAUCAUUACUUAGUUCCAUGUCAGAAAUCCAACUGGAAAAAUUGGAAUAUGGCCUGUUUGCAAAAAUAAAAUCUCUUCAAAAUGCUUCAAGAAUGCAUUGUAGCACCCAAAAGUACACUAUUUAUUUAUUUAUUUACUUACAGUAUUUAUAUUCCGCCCUUCUCACCCCGAAGGGGACUCAGGGCGGAUCACAUUACACAUAUAAGGCAAACAUUCAAUGCCUUGACAUAGAACAAAGACAAAGACAAACGCAGGCUCUGAGCUGGCCUCCAACUCAUGACCUCUUGGUCAGAGUGAUUGGUCUCAGCUGGCUGCAGCUGACUACUCACCAGCUUGUGCCACAGCCCGGGCCUAAACUCAGUGAGACAUAGUCAACAACAACUACCUCCUUUGUUGCUAUGAGUCCUCUGCUUAACGUCUCUGCCAAAGCAUGAAAUGAAACUGAGGCAGAAAAAAAGUUAAACAGCCCAUGUAAUCCAUCCAAAAAUACAAAGAAAACCACAGAAAAUACCACCAAUAAAGGGUUUUGCACACAAAAAAGAAAGAAAUUAUAUCAAAUCUCACUAUUGAUAUGCAUAAUUAAUCAAAGGAUUAUUCUAACUCACUAAGUCAAUUUCUUAAUAGGUAGACUAUCAUAACAAGAAAUAUCAAAUAAUAAACUAUUUCCUGUUUAUAAUAAGGUUGAUCUUAUAACUGACUACAGCUCCAGGAUGUAUGCCAACUAAAUUUAUGUACAAAACACAUUAAUCUCCUUUCAUAUACAUAUAUCUAACUUAAAUCUAGCUCUUCCACCCUCUAUAUAUUAAUCACAUUUUUUCAAACCAUCGCUUUAAAAUUAAUAUAAUGAAGGAGCUUUCUUAAAUAGAAAUUUCUUUUUGUAUAAAUCAACCAUCCAUAUGUGAUAACAAAAUAAUAUAUAAAUUAUCUCAAAGCAAAAGAAGUCAACAGAUUUAUCUCUUAUAAAUAUUAAUAUUUACCAUGGGUUUUUCUCCCAGCUCUCUGCCAUUGUAAAGCAUGGAUGUAAAAAAAAUGAGGUGAGUGCAUUAUCUUUUGGACACAGUCCAUCUCGAUCUUGGAUUUUUUUUGUCUCCUUCCAUGGUUUGUUCAGCUCCCUGGACUUUCUUUGCCCCUAUUGCCAUUUCUCUAGUCCCUGAGAUCACCAUCUCUUCUCUGAUGUAAAAGAAAAAACACCUGGUCUUCCAGAGUUCUCCAAAACCACACUUUUCUCCCUGUUGUUAAAUCCCAAGAUCUCAGCAGAUAUUUUCUCCACAUAUUUUCCAAUUUUCAACAUUGUUGUUCUUCUUUCUCUGAGAGUACAGAACCAUUCCAGUCCAUCACAGAAAAGGCUGCUACAAUUUGAAAAUCGUUCACCUCCUUCUGACAGAAAUCUCUAGCCAUAUAGUCUUCAGUUCCUCCAAAAGUUUCUUUCAGUUUUUUAACUCUAGCUUAACUCCGCUCUUAGCAAUGUUUCAUCCUUUUACAUUUCUUCAAAAUUACUUGUUCAUCUGGACCUUCUAGAUCUUCCUCCACAUGACCCUCAUUCAUUUCUUUGAGCAUUGUUGUCUUUAGUAUUCAAAAAAGUCUUUUAUGAAAUCAAAAAAUAUUGUCAAAUCGAGGCUCAUUUCUCACAAAAACUCUGAAUCUUUAGGAAUAAUCCAACAUAUUUUCACUUUAAAAAUGGAGAUAAGGUUUUAAUAAUCUAAUUUUAAUAUUUCCUGUACCUUUCAUCAUUUUAAAUAAUUGUAUCACACUAUCCUGUCAAAACAUUUUGUAUACACAAUACAAUGUUUAUAGUAGUCUUUGCAGUCUGACUUCUUAAUUCAAAAAGGAGGCCAACUUGCCAAGUUGAUGUCACUGCAGAAUCAAAGAUCUCUUUAUAAUCUAUAAAUUCCAGAUAUUAUGUGAAAAGUUAAAGAAAGCAAGAUGAAGGCUGAUUGUGCUUAAAAACCUGCAUUCAGCAAUGUGAGGUAUUCCCCAGGGUUCCUGCUCUAAUCACUCUUGAUCACUCAUUCUGCAAAUCCCUAGACACUAAAAGCUGAUCUCCUUCCCCUUUAUCUAGAGAGAAAUUCAUCAGCUAGAAUGUGACUCUAUGCCAGUGAUAAUUCCCAUUGAAGAUUCUUCUCACAUGGAGCCCCCUGGAAGAUGAGAGGCAGGGAUGAUGAUGACAGGGAGGAAUCCUUUUGAAACCCACCUCUGCCACCAAAUAUGUAUUGUGUGUGUGACUGUGAUGGAAAGGUAUGAGGUGAAGCAGGGAAAUGGUAAUUGCUAUUUCCACUGCUGAGGGGAAUUUUGAUCUUUUAUUCCCUCUAGAUUAUAUAUAUCACCUUUAUAUGAGGGGAAGGGUUACAGGGGGUGAUCUAUGUUUCAAGAUCCCAGCCUCUGUUUUUGUAUUUAGGGAUUUAGAUGUUGUGGUUCCCUUUCUGAGGUAAAUAUGUCUGUUAUUCUUUCCCCAAUUAGGUGAUUUAUUCAAUUAACUGCCACCAAUUAAUACUGAUGAAACUUGGCUCCACAGACGUAAAUGGAAUGAGAUGAGACAGUUGUUAACAAAUAACAACAAAUUUAUUUUGUACAAAGCUUAUAGUUGCAGGUUUGGUCGAUUAACUUAUAUAACUUUAAAUAGACAAGUGGUUUACUCCCUAUAACCACCCAGCCUCAGUCGAGUUCCUUCGUGGACAAUGUCCCCACUACAAUAAAACUAAUAAUUUGAUCCAAUACCGAUCAAAUCCCAGAUCACUAGAUUUUUCUCCACUAGAGAUCUUACUAGAUUCCCUUUAGUCUGUUCUGACUAAGGGUUUCUGUGCCAGGCCUAUCUUUUUUAGCGCUUCCUGACUAAAAAGCUUCCAGCCAUGCACACACACACCCUCUCCUUCUCUCCCUCACACACACACUCUCAACUCCCAACUCUCAACUGAACUGGCUUCUCUUCCUUUUUAAAAAACCGCUCCUAUUUCCUUGGCUCCGCCCACCUCUCUCUAUCAUGAGCUAGCCCUUCGUCUCCAUGGUAACCUAACCACUGGGGAAUGAAACAAAAUGUCUGCUGUUUCACUCAUGUUUCAAAAUGGCUACUGUUAACUAAAACACAAAUACACACUCCAACAGACAAAUAUUAAACACUAUAACUAUGACUUCUCCACAAUAACAUUUAUCAAAAGAGCUAUUCGUCUAGAAAGAGGAAUUGCAAAUGAGGUCACAAGUUUCAUAGUACAGAAGAGGAUGCCUUCAAAAAUUUGUAGAUAAAGGGGUUACUAAUUACAAACAAUACUCUAACAUCUCCCCUUAUUUUGCUGGAUUCUUUUAAUACAGGACAACCAUCUCUUCAUGACAAUUUUUUUGUUUUUUGUUUUUUGGGUUUUUUUUGGGGGGGGGGUUGUAUUGUGGUAUAUUACUAGAAGAUGGGUAGAGGUGAUAAUGCCAGAAGUGCUGUGCCAAUUGGUUUGGCUGGGUCCCUUGAAGCUCCAUAGCAGACGUGGUGUGAUUUUGGAAUUGCAACCCUAAGGAGAAAAUAAAUAAUAAAAUAAAUACUUUAUUUUAUUUGUAUUCCACCCUAUCUCCCCGAGGGGACUCAGGGCAGAUUCCAACAACAACAACAAACAAACAAUAAAUGCAAAUAACAAUCAAUACAAAUACAAAAUACAAAUACAAUACUAAACCAAGGACCCAAAUAAACCAACAUAUACCAAAUUAAACCCACAUGCAAAACCAAAUUAUAACAUAUAAUCUAAAAGUAAAUUAAAAUUAUAUUUAGCAUAAAAACAUGAACCAUUUUUAUUUUAAAAGAACAAGAUUCAACUGCAAUUACAUUAAAAUUAAUUAUGUUGCAGUGGUGUAACAGGGCCAAUUAGCCAACAAGCCAAAAUGCAAAAACAAAUUCCAUCCAGCAGUAUAUUAUGUGUCUAUAGUCCUCAAGUCCUCCUCCUCCUCUCCAUAUGCUAAAGAGCAAAGUUGAGUUUUUAAUUGUUUUUUGAAGGAGAGAAGUGAGGGGACAAUUUAAAUCUCUUUAGAAAGGGCAUUUCUUUAGCAAGGCUUUCUUAUCCAGAGCUGUCCCAAGGUAUUUUCCUGUUUGAGGCAAUGCAUAAUUCUCAUUACAGAAUGGGCUAGGUUUGUAAUUAAUUUUACUUUAACACUGGGAAUGGAACAUCCUCCUCCUCAGCACUUGAUGGGGCAUGGAUGAAUGAAGUCAAAUACACAUAUCCCCAUAGAUACCACACAGAAGUAUAACAUGUUAGAUAGAAGACGACAAUUGCAGCAGACCAACCAAGUCAUAAGAGGAAUGGGGGAGAAGACAAAACCACUAUAGAAAGCAAAUGCACAUCGGUAAGAGUUCAAUCCAAUGUGGUGCCAUACCAGGGAGAGGUGAUAAAACCCUAGAAUGAUAUUAAAAGUACACAGUUGUAAGUUUGAACUAUAAGACUGCUGAAUCUCCACUGGAAGAAAAGGAUGAGGAAAUACUAAGAAAAAUAUAAAAAAACACUUGGACUAUCAACAAUUUGUCUUCUAAAUCCUAUCAGCAUGAAGGGAAUUGAUUUAAUAUGGAGAAAUGGGAGAAUACAUUAAUAUUUAUAUAAAUGAGCAUUCACUGUCUUUCAUGUUAAAUUCUGUUAUAUGAUUAUAUAUCUGAUGUAUUUUUACACGGUUUAUGUUUUAAAUUGUUCUAUGGUUUUAAUUUGUUGUUUGUUGUAUGUUUCUUGUUGUAUUGGAAACCACUCUGAGUUCCUCGAGGAGAUAGGGUAGUGUAUAAAUAAAGAUUAUUAUUAUUGUUAUUAUUAUUAUUAUUAUUAUUAUUAUUGACACAAAGACAUAGUAUGACACAGCAAACGAGAUCUAUAUGCUGGAUUUUGUAUCACAAAAUCACAAGUCGAACACUUCCCAAGUAUUUAGGACUGUGUGAUGUAUUUUCGGAUGAUGAGUGCAGAUCCCAGUAAGGUGGCCUUUUGCAGCUGACAGAUCGUAAUUUUGUCAAUGUUUAUUGUUUCCAAAUGCUGGCUGAGAUCUUUUGGCACGGCACCCAGUGUGCCAAUCACUACAGGGACCACCUGCACUGAUUUAUGCCAGAGCCUUUGCAGUUCAAUCUUGAGGUCCUGAUAAUGGCUGAGUUUUUCCUGUUGUUUUUCAUCAUUCCAACUGUCACCUGGUAUGGCAUCAUCAAUAAUCCAAACUUUUUUAUUUUCCACAAUCGUGAGGUCUGGUGUGUUGUGUUCCAAAACUUUGUCAGUCUGGAUUUGAAAGUCCCACAGUGUUGUUGUUGUUGUUGUUGUUGUUGUUGUUGUUGUUGUUGUUGUUGUCGUCGUCGUCGUCUCAGAUAAAACUACUCAUUUCAUUUCAGCUUAUCAAUAAGGUAGGUAUAGAUCAGGGUGGACAGCUGUGGAAGACGAGGGAGAGGGUGCCCACCCUGUUCCAAGUAUCGUAGCAGUAGUAGUAGUAGUAGUAGUAGUAGUUGCUGCUGCUGCUAUUAUUAUUAUUUGA